Molecule: ribosomal RNA, 1366 nt
Filed under: Triticum aestivum (bread wheat)
Lineage: Eukaryota; Viridiplantae; Streptophyta; Magnoliopsida; Poales; Poaceae
Description: partial small subunit ribosomal RNA
Source: RNAcentral
GUGCGCGGGUCGUGCACGGGGGUGGAGCCGGGGUUUUAAGGGGUUAGGCGGGUCGGGGGCCAGAGGCGUCGAGGAGGCGUGGCGGUUUAGGAGGAGGUUAAGGCGGCUAGGCCAGCCGUGGAGCAGCCUUGGCGGGCGGGGCGCGUGGAGGCUAGGGGCGGCGGCCACCAACGGGCGCUCCGCUCCGCUCAGCCGCCGGCCAGUUGGCGGGGGGCGCGGCAGCGGCCGAGAUGGUUCCUCUUCUAGGAAUACUCAACCAACCGACACUUAAGUAUAUUUAAGACCAUGACACUUUUACCCAGUUUUCCACCGUCCUUCAAGCACUGCUCUAAUUGGUAUCUGCUAACUCCAGACUCACCUAAAUCCUUCUAGUCUAUGUCACUUUUCCCUCGCGUCAGCACUACCUGUCUCGACCUCCGUUGGUUCGUCCGGUUCACAGCUUCUUUCCUUUCUUCUUCGUACGCUUUCUGCUCAGUCUGGCCGUCUUCGUCCGACUCUUCUUCUCCGCGGCCGACCUCUUUCGUGAGCGUUUGAGGCGUCGCUAGUAAAGUCUCGACCUUUUCUUCGCCGUCGUCUUUGUCCUCCUCGUCUCCUCCGACCUACUGCUUCCCCGACGCUAUCGGCUCCGACAGCGGGAAGUACAGGAGUAUCCGCUUCUAACGCUACUUGGGGCGGUCGAUUACACCUUGCCGGUAUCUCCGGCGCCGGUAGCCCCACUAAAACACCUAGUGCUCGGCCGAGGUCCGCGCGUUCCUCGUCCUCCUCUGCGGAUAGGUAUACCUUCGGCCAGUGGCGACCGUGCCCGGAGAGCAGGGGUGUACGGGGUCACCUCCGACUGGCUGACACCGUACAGGCCCGGCAAGAGCAAGAGUAGCACCCUCGCUUACCCGCUAAAACUCCCCGAUAUGACGCUUCCCUGUGGGACAGUCUGUCUGGUUCUGUGAAUGACGGUGCCGGAGCAUCGUCGUUGGGUCCGGCGGAGAGGUAAGCCUAUGCCAAGCCUCCUAGGUAAGGGACGGGUACCUUGCCUCCCACGAAGGAGGUAGUUGUAGUACGACCCGCCGCCGUGGUCGUUGUCGGACUUGUAGAUGUCCUCUGUUAAGAUCUAGUAUCAAUGAAAGAAAAAAUGUGGUUUCCAGCUAGAAAAGUAAACGACACUAUGAAUCGAAACGCAGCUCUUUGGCUUUCACCUAUAUCCCUAUAUAUCCUCUCGGCAGAAUGACAGCUCAGCUUCUUCUUCGCCACACAUAAACCGCAGUCAAUGUCUUUCACACAAAAACACUACUUAAUAAUUAUAUACAAAAACGAAAAUGGACUCCAACUACACAUACACAAACGUGGUCUACCUCUACUCUAAACCAACACC